CUGCCGCCCGCGUGCGCCCGCCCGAGGUCGGGAGCCGCCCCGCAGGCCCCCAGGACAGGCUCCGGGACCACGAGGGACUGCGGAGACCGCCUGCGCACGCUAACAUGAAAAUGCUACUCCUGCUUUAGUGGCCUCCAGAAGACACUCCCCUGAUUCCCACACCGAGGGAACACAUAUCAGCAAGCUAGGAAAGAAGAGGUGACCCAGCCCAGCGCUCUAAACCAGGGCGCGAACAGGCGUUAAGCUGCGCAGCUGCGCCCUGGGCUCCGGUCCUGCUCUGCUGCAGACCCCACCGGAGCCAGCACCUGCCUCCCAGACCCUUGCUGGGGGGGCUGUGAGAUGAGCCCAGAGCCUUCCUGAGCCAACCCUCGCAAGGAAAGUCUGUCUGUUCAUCCCACUACCUGCUUGUCUAGAAGGAUGGAGAAGAGAGGGCCCCCCCCCCCGGGUGGUCCCAAAAGGUGGAAUGGACAUCUGGGAUCCAAGCAUAGCACUUUCUUUCUUUUUCUUAAGGGACACACAGGAAUCUGGGGGAUAUUAUGGUUCUGGGAAUGUGGAACGUAACCUCUCAUCUUCAGCCCGUCUGUGCUACUGACCGUCUCAUUCAGGAAGCCACGCCUUCGCUCAGGAGCAGACUGCACAAGGCACAGUCCCCAGAUAAAAUUGCUCUACUGAAGAUCCCUAGUAUUUUUGCUAAGUUCAUCAGCUUCUUCCGGACAUCUCCUUAAUAGUUGAUUCAUCAUCUAAAUAUUUAGAAACACUCUAUGUGAUGUCAAUGACCACUGUGUUAGAUGCCAAGAAAACCAAGAGAAAGGGAAGCCUGGUGUGGGAAUAAAGUGUAAACAGACCCUCCUUGCAACAUGGUAUGUGAAGAGCUGUGAUAGCAUGUCAUUUCGGGAGUACAGGAAGUGUUCACAAUUACCUUCGCUUUGGUUUCCGUCACACUAGUUUCUGCUCCACCUCUCUUAUUACCCCUCCAGUUUCCUCUGCUCCUUCAUGCCAUCCACUUAUCUCUUAAGUACAGGCAUUCUCGAUGGCUGAGUCACUCCUUGCAGUUGAUUAAGUCAGAGUUUUCCUAGUUUUGUGACUUUUUAAGAGUUGACUGCUUUUCUUAAAAUUACUUUCAAAUUAUAGAAGCUGGAAAUUCCAAAAACUCUUUAAGCAGCUAUCCUCUAAUAUUACAAAAGGAGUCAUUUUGACUCCUAUUUUGGGCUAAUUUUAUUUUAUCCAUAUGUAACAUAUGCCCUCAAAACAUCUAGCAUAAACCGGAGCCAGAAUAAGGCAACUGUCCAUGAUUUAAAACAACUCGAAACAUUCUAAACAUUGAUCUCAAAUAAAUUCCUAAUGGCAUAUCACAUUGUGAAAAGGCAAGUCACUGAGCACCUGAUCUCCAAACAGACCAGAAAUUAAGUUCAAAACCAAAAAUGCAGAGACUUAUCAGUUAUGCAAAAGUCAAGACAAGUCAUCUGAGGAUCUGUAAGUCAAUUGCUAUCUUCUGCCCCCCUUCCAAGUUUUGCUGUAUGUCCAUGAUAACUAUCCUCCUGUUCUCAGCUUUUCCUUGCCAAAGCUCUCGGGAAGAAAGAUUUAAUGGAGCAGAUCUGUUUGCUCAGUCCCUAAAUCUUUCCAGAACCCGGAACCAUGGUGGAAUCUGGGCCAACCCCUGCAUAUAUGGCGACUACAAUAUUCUACGUAUCAUUGGUGAGGUGUAUAAACCUGGGGCAAUGGAGCAUGUUAAAUCAACUUGUCAAGACUUCUCAGGAUUGUUUAGCCAGAUCCACGACUUCCUUGGUUGCAUUGUUGGGGUCCUGAGUUUCAGUUCCAAUAGCUGGUUACAUAGAAGCAUGUGCGUAAAUGACCAGCCCUGUAUAAAGCCUCAGACUCUAAGACUCAAAUGGACCUUCCUAUGCAAACACAUUCCAACUAUGUCCCUGUAGUUCACUGCUAGAGAGAAAGUACAACCUGUGAGGCCUGGGAUGGAGAAGGACUCAGGGCCUGUGUCUGGACUCUCUGGACUCUGGUGAUAUAUAUAUGUCAUUACCCUGCUGUUUCUGUUCUGUAUCCUUUACUCUAAUAAACCCUAGCCAUGAGUAUAGCUGGC
This is a non-coding RNA of Macaca mulatta (Rhesus monkey), 2095 nucleotides long. NCBI's taxonomy places the organism in Eukaryota, Metazoa, Chordata, Mammalia, Primates, Cercopithecidae. The record is from RefSeq and is a predicted model, not a curated record.